RNAcentral lists this ribosomal RNA (253 nucleotides) under uncultured bacterium. RNAcentral's name for it is "partial 16S ribosomal RNA". It matches the Rfam family "Bacterial small subunit ribosomal RNA", at positions 524 to 776 of the family's 1533-position model. The record is from RNAcentral.
GACAGAGGAUGCAAGCGUUAUCCGGAAUGAUUGGGCGUCAAGCGUCUGUAGGUGGCUUUUUAAGUCUGCCGUCAAAUCCCAGGGCUUAACCCUGGACAGGCGGUGGAAACUACCAAGCUGGAGUACGGUAGGGGCAGGGGGAAUUUCCGGUGGAGCGGUGAAAUGCGUAGAGAUCGGAAAGAACACCAACGGCGAAAGCACUCUGCUGGGCCGUACCUGACACUGAUGCGCGACAGCAUGGGGAGCAAACAGG